GUUUGCAGGAAGCUGUAAUCAAGAAAAAAUAUGGUGGAUUACUACCAAGAAAAACCCCUUUAAUCUCAAAGGAUCAUGAUCGUGCUUUCUUUGAUUCUGCAGAUUGGGCACUAGGAAAGGGGUCACAAAAGAGCAAAGGACCUUUAGAGGCACUACGCCCAAAAUUGCAGCCUACGCCACAUCAGCAAGUUCGUUCAAGACGAUCAUCCUACGCCCCUGC
Molecule: long non-coding RNA, 220 nt
Organism: Lactuca sativa (garden lettuce)
Lineage: Eukaryota; Viridiplantae; Streptophyta; Magnoliopsida; Asterales; Asteraceae
Source: RefSeq, a predicted model, not a curated record